This is a long non-coding RNA of Nicotiana tabacum (common tobacco), 2483 nucleotides long. RefSeq lists it as uncharacterized. The record is from RefSeq and is a predicted model, not a curated record. Lineage: Eukaryota; Viridiplantae; Streptophyta; Magnoliopsida; Solanales; Solanaceae.
GAAACUCUAAAUCUUAAUCACCCCAUCGUCUUCUCCACCCCUCUACGCUAUGAAUCGCCGACCGAAAAUUGUCUCCGCUGGACAAAGUCAACCAAAUCCCCGCAAACCGAUAUCAAUCGACUCCUCCUCUUAUUCCCUAUCCCAUUACAUCAAAAUUGAACCUCCAUUUUCAUCCCGUUACCACUAGACUCGAAACCGUAACCGUCGUUUCCCCCUUUUCAUUUCCAGCCCAAUUCAUGGUUGUAACCAACAGGAAUUGAUGUCAGUUUCGGUAGAUUUCAAUGGCAAUCGGCGCUAGUCAACUCACCGUUGACCGGCCAGAAUCUAAUUUUCUCCCGUUGGCUCAGGAUUUUUGAAAGAAUGAGCACUAUCCAAAAUUUACCUCUACGAGUCAUAGAUGAGAUCCCAUUGAAGCUCCAUAUAUGGUGGGAUGACUUGGGGUAAAAAGGAUGGGAUCUAGUCAAUCAUUACUUGGGGGGCACUCACCAGUUUGUUAAAGAUUAAGCCCAGAAGUGACUUGAUAGGGGUAUUGGUGCUAUUCUGGGAUCCAGCUCACAAUAUGAUUCGUUUCUCGAACUUUGAGCUAACACCUACUUCAGAGGAAAUAGCGGGCUAUGCUGGAACUACAGAAGGGUUAAGGUAAAAAAAUAUUUGAUAGCCCUAAGGAUCGUCAUUCCUCACAGGUUUUUAGAUCUCUUGAAGAUAAGAAGGAAGAUUAAGACCGUGGACCUGGCAGAUGGGUUUUGCUCUUUCCAAUUUUUGUAUCAGCAUUGUGGGAAUUCGAAGGGGUUUGAGAUUCAAGAAAACGGGCUUUGCAACAAAGGCAAUCGGACCAAGUGGGAGAUGCACAGGGGUUUUGAUUUCACAGUGGCAUUUUUAGGCACCUUGGUGUUCUCGAGAGAGGAUAGAAACAUUGAUUUACGCCUAGCCGGAGUUGUUCUAGUUUUGACUACCCAAGACAAAAGAACCCUUAUACCUAUGAUUGUAUUAGACAUAUUCCGAGCUUCGACAUCUUGCAAGGCCGAAGCCAAAUUUUUUAGGGAUGCAUCCUAUUGCUACAAAUGUGGUUGAUAGAUCACUUUUUUCAUCGUCGCAUAUAUAUGAACUGCGGUGCUAGGGGCCAGUUGCAUUGAAGAGUUUGAAAAAAGGGUGACUGGUUUCAUAAUGCCAGAAUGGGUUAGGGCUUGGAUCACCCGCCUUCGUUCAUUAACUUCAAGUCAGAUAGAGUGGAUCCUGGGUUGGCUUUCUGCUAACGAGAUCAUUCAUAUGUAUGCCACUGGUUCUUAUUUUCUCUUGAUGGGUCUCCGCGUUAUUCAGUCGUACGCCGCAUCCCGGCUACUGGUGCCAGCUAGUUCCUCAAGAUGAGGACCUUAGUGUUCAUGUUAUCGAGUUACGUCCCAAAGCUCAGUUUCCCAAAAAUAUAGUCCGCCAGAUUUGGAGUGAAUGCCAGUAUUUGGGGCCAGAUAUCUGAGUACAUGAUUUAUCAAAGGGUGAGGUUGAACUCGGAUAUGCUACUUAGUAUGGAAAGAGAGCAAUGGUAAAUAAUGAGUCUAAAAGACCAGCCAAGAGGCCCCACGUCCAAGAGUUUGGUGAUAGGGCACAAGAACACUGAGCUUGGGUAGCAAAAAUAGAAAAAUACAGGGCCACAAUCAAUACCCUACAAGAGCAAGUGAGGGUCCUUAGCUUUGAGAAGGAAUUGCAAGCUACCGAGGAUGACAGAGAAAAGAAGAGAUUGGCUCGCGAUAAUGUGGCCCUUCGAACCCAACUCUGAGAGAUGAAAAGGGCAUCAGAGGUACAAGUAAGAAGUGAAAGACAUCAAUAAAUCAUCAAAAAUUUGAGGCAGUGUGUGUUUGAUCACGCAACCGAUUUGACAAAAACUAAGAAAGAGAUAGCAAGGGCCCGUGAGAGGAUAGUUCAAUUAGGUGAAGAUUUUGAGAACCGCCUAAGGUUGGCCUGCCAAGCAAAGCAAAAUCACGAAGAAGAAGUUGCUGGUUUAAGGAAAGAUUUGGCCAUCCUUGAAAAUAAAAUGAGUCAACAAGUUAAGGACUUUAAGGCAGAAAGAGAACACUAUUACAACUUGCUAAACCAGUUGUAGGGGAAUGUGGUAGACCCACAAAACAAGAGGGAUCAGACAUAAUACUUGGUAGGAGCCCGAGAUCUACAUAUUAGACUAAUAUUUCUGGACCAAAGAAUCACGAAGUUCAGCAUUCAGGAAAUAUCCGACUAUGCUGCCAAGAAAUGCAAUGACUGUGAAAAGAUGACCAUGGUCAUGUUCUUCUCCACAAUGUUGACUUUUGUUGGCCAGGUCAUGAGUGAUCUAGAAGUUUUUUAUUGGAAACAUACCGACGCAGUGACUAACAGAUGUCACACGAGGCCCUGCUUGUCCAUUGUAUCAGUUGCGUUUGAUUAUCGAGUCUGUAGUUUACUUUCCCACAUCAAGUCUGUUGUUUAUUAUCCAUUUCGAAUCUGUUGUUUAUUGUCCA